Molecule: long non-coding RNA, 576 nt
Organism: Pantherophis guttatus
Lineage: Eukaryota; Metazoa; Chordata; Lepidosauria; Squamata; Colubridae
Source: RefSeq, a predicted model, not a curated record
GUGCUCUAGAAAACUCCCAUGGUCAAUGAUAUUGCAAAAUGCUGAGAAACAUGGCAGAACCAAUGGAAUUACAUUCUCAUAUUCAACUCUGGCAUAAGUUAUCUGCAACAGCUGUUUCUUUUCCUAAACUAGACCUGAAAUCAGACUGAUUGCAAGAAUCUUCAUAGACUACUAGACUUCACCUAGGAUCACCAGGAAAAGGCCACCUGUCAUACCUGAGUUGUUUUUGCAAAUGUUCAUCUUGCCAUGGAGUGAAUUAUCCAAACAAGUCAUCAAAAAAAGAAAAAAGAAAAAAAAAAAACUUGUUUACAUUCUUAUUGAAAAACAUCUUCAGGUACACAUACAAUCAAUUCACAAAAAGAAUUUCUUCAGAGGUUCAAAAGGCAAAGUAUAGUUGUAUAAGUGCAGGCUGAAUUGCCAUUUUGUGUCACCCAUGUGCAAUUUUUCAAUACAAGUUCCUUUUUGGGUAUUACAGGAAAUGUGAUCAACUCAGCUAACAGAUAAUACAGCCAAUAGUUUCUUCAUCGUUUCUGAAGUGACCUUGCUGUAAUAAAAUUUUCUGAGUUUCGAUCUUCA